This 447-nucleotide ribosomal RNA is filed under the name uncultured bacterium. RNAcentral's name for it is "partial 16S ribosomal RNA". It matches the Rfam family "Bacterial small subunit ribosomal RNA", at positions 29 to 523 of the family's 1533-position model. The record is from RNAcentral.
AACGAACGCUGGCGGCAGGCUUAACACAUGCAAGUCGAACGCCCCGCAAGGGGAGUGGCAGACGGGUGAGUAACGCGUGGGAGUCUACCCAGAUCUACGGAACAACAGUUGGAAACGACUGCUAAUACCGUAUACGCCCUACGGGGGAAAGAUUUAUCGGAUUUGGAUGAGCCCGCGUUGGAUUAGCUAGUUGGUGGGGUAAUGGCCUACCAAGGCGACGAUCCAUAGCUGGUCUGAGAGGAUGAUCAGCCACACUGGGACUGAGACACGGCCCAGACUCCUACGGGAGGCAGCAGUGGGGAAUAUUGGACAAUGGGCGCAAGCCUGAUCCAGCCAUGCCGCGUGAGUGAUGAAGGCCUUAGGGUUGUAAAGCUCUUUCACCGAUGAAGAUAAUGACGGUAGUCGGAGAAGAAGCCCCGGCUAACUUCGUGCCAGCCGCCGCGGUAA